GGUCUCUCUGCCAGCUGGUGAACCUUCUCCAGGAAAUCUACAUGCCCAAUAUGGAACAGGUCAAAGGCUCCGGCCACGUAGAUGAUAGUAUCUCCUGGCUGUGGUUCCUUCCCUGAUGCAAACUGGAUGAUCUUCUGAGAUGUCUGCAGGAACUGCGAGACACCGGUCCAAGGACUAUGACCCUUUGGUCCCUUCCCAAAGUUGUCAGUGUGCUUCCGAUAGUCUAGGUCCUCAUCUAUGUUGCUGUGGUGAGCCUUAGUCAUGAGCAGCAUGCGGCCAACGAGGUCGGUAGUGGACACACCUUGAGUGCGUUUGCAUUCCCUGUAUCGCCCGGCUGUCUUCACUUCCUCGUAGGUGUCCUUGCCGUCUAUCGUUAAGGUGAUGUCAUCGCCGUGCACGCAGAAGUCGCAGUUAUAUUUGUCCAAGGUUUCCAGCGUGGUGACAUAAGGAGCCCCGGGCGCAAUCUCAUCCACCCACUUGAUGGCUUGCACCAUCUUGUACCUCUCCUCCUGCGUGAAGACGGGGGGGCCCUUAUGCUUGGCGAUCUCCUCGUCCGUGUGCACUCCCACGAUCAGAUAAUCGCCCAUGGCCCGCGCCUGGCGCAGCUGGUUGGAGUGGCCGUAGUGCACCAUAUCGUAGCAGCCGUCGCACCAGACGCGCACGGGCCGCUGUGCCGCCGCGCCGCCCCCCGCCGCCCCGUUGCGCAGCAUGGCCGCGCUGUCACCGGCGGCGCCGCCGCCGAGCGGGACCUCCCGCCCGCCCCGCCCCGCGCCCGCCCCCGCCGCCAUCUUGGGGCGCGUCAGCACCGGCGGCCGGGGCGGGCCGACGCCCCGCGCUCCGUCUCGCCCCGCCCCGCCCCGCCCCCGCCGUCAGUUGCUCUUCCUGCGCCGGGUGCCCUUAGCGCAGCCGCGGCCCAACCAGCCGCCGGGCCGGGCGGGGGGUUCGUCCCGCGGUGCCGCUGCCGGCUCGGUGCCCUGCGGCGGGGCCACCGGCUUCCGGCUGUGCGUGCCCUCCUCCUCGGGGCGCAGCGGCUCGGCCAGCGCGAAGAUGGGGUCCCGCGCCCGCUCGUAGCCGGGGAUCUGCAGGCCCAGCUCCUCCAUCAGCAGCCGCAUGACGUCGUCGCAGCGGCCGUGCAGCUUCAGGGCAGCCAGGUCGUCCUUGGGCGUCCACUGCGAGGCGACAGCGGGACACCGCGGCGCUGCAGCACCCGCUGCGAGGGGCUUCACCCCACCUCCCGGCCCAGGACUGGGAAGGCGCUCACCUGCAGGUUGACGAUAUAGAGCUUUGGACGACGAGGUGGGGGUUUGCUCAUGCACCAAAGGCGGGGGUAUUUUUUCAAAACCUGCCACAAAACAGAACUGAUCAGCACAGCCAAAGGCACGCGUAACCCUGAACCGUAGCAGCGAGAGGAGAAGGAAUGUAUUACCAGGAGGGGAAAGAGGGAGGAAGAGAGACUAUCACACAGAUGGUGGGCGAAUCCUGACACCAGAGUUUACAGUUGUCUGUUUGGGAGGAGACUGCUCAGCACCAAGGUGUGUCACCAAGAGGGAAUGCUGCUAACAAUCUUCACCGAGUCUCUAAAGUUACCUUUAAGCUGGAACCCAGACAAAGAAUCACAUCUGCUUUGCUUGCAGCUUCUGUUGCUGCUUCCCAGUUCAGGGGCUGUGUCAGUGUCCCCUUCUCCCCAAAGUGGACGAUUGUAUCUCUCAACUGCGCCCCACACUUGUGGCACAUCCUGCCAGUGUGGUGCUUGUGCAGGGCUGUGCGUUCUGUCACGUCAAAUACUCGCACAUACUCUCUGUUGGGUGUACACGAAGUGCAGACCUAUAGCACAGGAAGGAAAAAACGUAGUACUGUCGGUAUCUGGUCCAUCAGAGCCCAGGGCUGCAGCCACGCCUCAGAGAAAAGCACCUUCUGGGGACAACAAACCUGGGAGCAGUAGAAGGAAUCAUCUGUGUUUAGAUGCUAACUUGGAAGCAUUGAGAAACACUCAACUAGUGAGUGGCAUUACAGGGGGCUGGGCAAUAGGAGGGGUUUUCAGGCAAGGCCUGAAGAACUGUGCCCAGAAGCAGAAGGCUCUAGCAGAUACAGAGAAAAAACUGCCAGGUUGUACAGAAAACUUAACUUUGGGGCUUGCUAAGUAGUUCACCCAAAAACGGACAACCUAAAGAUACAAACUAAGCUGAGACUGGCCCUCGUGCUAAUUCUUCAGUCAGGGAGAAACAGUUAAUAUUAUCUUUUUACAAGGCCAAUACUGACAGUACCUCUGUACUUUUCUAGCUGCUCACCUCUAUGUACAUGUUUCCAUGAAGCUCAGAGAUUGCUGAUCGAGGUAACCCACUUCGCAGGUGCAGCCCAUCACAGUUUUGAGAUACCACAUGCUGCACCUGGAAGAGAAUAAAACACUGAAAUAACACACAUAGAGAAGACUCUGAAAGUAUUACUCCAAUGCAGGUAAUACGUAUGUCUCAGUGUGCAAUAAACAGUUCUGCUUCAAUACACUGAGCUAACAGAAGAAAAGCACAGAGAGCAGAACUCUGUGAAAGCUAAAGAGACUCCUGCUAAAUACAGCUCUGUUAGGCCUGGCAGACUUUGUGGUCAUGUCCCCAGACCACAGCCUCACCAGGAGGCCAACAAAAGCUAUUGAAGAAAGGCACAAGGGAAAAACUGCGGGAGACACAGUCUGGAUGUGGCCUGAUAAAGGCUCGGCUAUACAGAAACACAGGUGAUUGCUCCUACACAGAUGUAGCCGCUUCACUAAGGACAACAGUUAUGCAGUAUUGUGAAAAACAUCUUUUUCCUUUUUGAUCUGAUUUAUUACACUGUGACAGUGGAGCACAAGUCAUGGACAGAAAAGGAGAUCUUACCAGGUUAUGCUUGUGUAAGCAAGCAAUGCUCAUAUGGGUGAGCGUGGGCUCUGCCUCACUCAGAUCUGUAGUGCUGACAAGAGGCAAAAAAAAAAAAAAAAGGUAAGAAAUUGCCAUUAAAACUCUCAGCUGUCUGUUGGGCAGCUCAAAAUUCAUCUCCUGAGUAGCUGCAGAACUGUCCUUCCAGGAAAGAGAAAGGAAGAGUUCGCUACAGUCACCUUACCUGAUGCUCCUGCCCUUCUGCAGCAAUGUCCAAAUGCCAUUGGGGCCUCGGUAGUCUGGGAUCGAAGCUGCCUGUGUUAUUGAGAGAGACAAAGCACGGCCUGAGGGGAAAGUUCAUACCUCUUGUCCACCAACACAUCGACCUGGCCUCACCCAGGACAGCGAGAUACUGCAUUCACUGCUGCUUUUUCGGUCACUCCAAGUUUUCUAGUGUUUUCCUAAUUAUAGAGAGCUCUUUUCCUACCUUGCACUUCUCAUUUUCACCUCCAGUGUUUAUUUUCUCCAAUUUUACCACUAUGAAAUCCCUCCAGAACACUCUUCUCCCCUAGGUACUUCCCAUUUCCCCAGACAGAACCCAUUCAUUGAACCUUUAAUUAUUUACACUCUACUGAUUCCUGGUAGCUUGAACUCAGUGUUCUUUAAAAAAAAGCGUCUAUGACCUUAACACUUUUUCAUCCACUCUGCCCAGCUCCAUGCUCCCUAUCAGCUGAGACUGCAGAAAAGGGGAAGAACGAUAAGGUUCCCAUCUCAGAGUUCAGACAAAAGUGACAAAUGUGACGUGCAAAGAGGCAGCUCCAGAUUUCCAUUCUUGUAAGAGGCCACAGAAACCAUUUUUAAGCCAUCAUGUUUAACCUCUAGUAACCACUCGUUAUUUCUAAAUUGUUUAUUAAUGCAGACUGCAUUAAGCAGCUAACAACUUCUUUUAGGUUUUGCAGCAAAAGUAGCUGAAGAGACUCGAACGAAGACAGACUACUGAUCUCAUUUUAGAAGCUUGUUCUUUGCAUAGAGGUGAUGCAGCCUCAGAAUCUCUUGGCCAGAAGGAAUAUCCCAAGAUGCAAAUUAGUUAACAUCUUGGUCAUGGUUUGUAAUUCAACAAUGUUAAUAUAGAAUCCCAGAUAUCCUCUGGGCAGCCUGGUCUGGUGUUUGGCAACCCUGCACGUAGCAGGGGGUUGAGACUAGAUGAUCACUGUGGUCCUUUUCAAUCCAGGCCAUUCUUUGAUUCUAUGACAUCCCAUGGUCAUUUGGAAUCCACAAAAAACAGAGUUCAAACAUUGCAACACUCCUGAAGGAGCUCCCAAAGCUCCAGCCACUCACCCCCAAAGAAUCCUACCGUACUGAUCCCUGCUCCUGUGUAGAUGACAAGGUGCUUGGCAUUCCGGAUAGCAGCAGCCAGCUCAAUGACCUUUCUCUUCAGCUCCUCUGGCUCAUCACAUACCUCCUCCUGCCGCCGGCGCAGCCUCUCGCGCCUCUUGCGGCGCCUCUCCAGCUCCCGGACGAUGUCCUCGCUCUCGCUCAGCACCUGACACUCCUCGGGGCUCCGUUCCGCCGGCGGCUUCCUCCAGAUGCGGGAAACCUGUCUCCGCCGGUCCCGCUGCUCCUCCUGCUGAAGGAUCUCGGCGCGCGCCGCCGCCUUCCGCUCCGAGCGGCUGAGGCUGCCGCCGGCCGCC
RNAcentral lists this long non-coding RNA (4537 nucleotides) under Gallus gallus (chicken). Lineage: Eukaryota; Metazoa; Chordata; Aves; Galliformes; Phasianidae. The record is from RNAcentral.